Molecule: ribosomal RNA, 552 nt
Filed under: Krasilnikovozyma huempii
Lineage: Eukaryota; Fungi; Basidiomycota; Tremellomycetes; Cystofilobasidiales; Mrakiaceae
Description: eukaryotic LSU rRNA
Rfam family: Eukaryotic large subunit ribosomal RNA
Source: RNAcentral
AAAAUCUGGCGGCCUCAGGUCGUCCGAGUUGUAGUCUAGAGAAGCGUUUUCCGCGUUGGCCUGUGUACAAGUCCCUUGGAAUAGGGCGUCAUAGAGGGUGAGAAUCCCGUCCUUGACACAGAUCCCAAUGCUUUGUGAUACGCUCUCAAAGAGUCGAGUUGUUUGGGAAUGCAGCUCAAAAUGGGUGGUAAAUUCCAUCUAAAGCUAAAUAUUGGCGAGAGACCGAUAGCGAACAAGUACCGUGAGGGAAAGAUGAAAAGCACUUUGGAAAGAGAGUUAAACAGUACGUGAAAUUGUUGAAAGGGAAACGAUUGAAGUCAGUCAUGCUUCUCUGGAUUCAGCUUGUUCUACAAGUGUAUUUCCAGUUUUGCAGGCCAGCAUCAGUUUUGUUUGAUGGAAAAAGCUUGAGGAACGUGGCAACCCCGGUUGUGUUAUAGCCUCUUUGCGCAUACAUCAGAUGGGACUGAGGAACGCAGUGUGCCUUUAUGGUCGGUCUUCGGACACGUACGCACUUAGGAUGCUGGCAUAAUGGCUUUAAACGACCCGUCUUGA